Molecule: ribosomal RNA, 407 nt
Filed under: uncultured bacterium
Lineage: Bacteria
Description: partial 16S ribosomal RNA
Rfam family: Bacterial small subunit ribosomal RNA
Source: RNAcentral
AUUGAACGCUGGCGGCAGGCCUAACACAUGCAAGUCGAACGGAGUGGCGGACGGGUGAGUAAUGCCUAGGAAUCUGCCUGGUAGCGGGGGAUAACGUCCGGAAACGGGCGCUAAUACCGCAUACUAUCGGAUGAACCUAUAUCGGAUUAGCUAGUUGGGGGGGUAAUGGCAUACCAAGGCGACGAUCCGUAACUGGUCUGAGAGGAUGAUCAGUGACACUGGAACUGAGACACGGUCCAGACUCCUACGGUAGGCAGCAGUGGGGAAUAUUGGACAAUGGGCGAAAGCCUGAUGCAGCCAUGCCGCGUGUGUGAAGAAGGUCUUAGGAUUGUAAAGCACUUUAAGUUGGGAGGCGUUACCAACAGAAUAAGCACCGGCUAACUCCGUGCCAGCAGCCGCGGUAAUAC